Molecule: ribosomal RNA, 386 nt
Filed under: uncultured bacterium
Lineage: Bacteria
Description: bacterial SSU rRNA
Rfam family: Bacterial small subunit ribosomal RNA
Source: RNAcentral
GACGAACGCUGGCGGCGUGCUUAACACAUGCAAGUCGAGCGGUAAGGCCCUUUCGGGGGUACACGAGCGGCGAACGGGUGAGUAACACGUGGGUGACCUGCCCUCAGCUCUGGGAUAAGCCUGGGAAACCGGGUCUAAUACUGGAUAUGACUCCAUGACGCAUGUUGGUGGGGUGGAAAGCCUUGUGCGGCUGAGGAUGGGCCCGCGGCCUAUCAGCUUGUUGGUGGGGUGANGGCCUACCAAAGGCGACGACGGGUAGCCGGCCUGAGAGGGCGACCGGCCACACUGGGACUGAGACACGGCCCAGACUCCUACGGGAGGCAGCAGUGGGGAAUCUUGCGCAAUGGGCGAAAAGCCUGACGCAGCGACGCCGCGUGAGGGAUGAC